CGGGCCUGGUUAGUGACUCCGAGGCGGAAUUCUCGCCCGCGUGCCUUUCCCGGCCUUCCCCUUCCUUCCCUGUUUAGUAAAGCUUGUAAGCCUCGCUGAGUAUCUGGCCGCCUCUCCCCUCCGCUUCCGGAAUUUCAACGGGGUGGUAACGCUUCCGUCUCUGCCCCUGGCUUUGUUCUCUCUGGUUCUGGUAGCGAUAUUGUUCCGAAGAGAAUUGGCAGUUUGUGGUAACCGAGGUGUUGAACCGGCGACCUCAACGUGGGUUUUUCCAGUGUCAGUAAUCGUCUCUGAACACAGUUAAGAGCAUUAUUAGGAGUCGCACUUCGCCGGAGAGCAGAGUGGCGCAGCGGAAGCGUGCUGGGCCCAUAACCCAGAGGUCGAUGGAUCGAAACCAUCCUCUGCUAUCUGCUUUUCCUGCAACUUUUUAGUUUCUGUAGCCUCGUUUCACAGUAGGGGAAGAAAUUAGACCCUGUUUUGCUUCAUUCUGGAGUGAAAAUUAUUUCCUGAAAAUAAACGUGAAACUGUUUACAUUCUCCAGAGAGAAAAAGACCGUCGGUCAUGGAUACUCAGUUAUCAUUAAUUAAGAUGUUCCCCCACCACAAGCUAUAUUUCUAGUGGUUGCCAAAGGGAUCGUGACAGUCCCAUUGCCCUAUGAACCUGGGAAAACGCUAAAAUAAGCUGAGUGUAAGGGUGAGGACAGGGAUGGAAGCCGAGAGAAGGCGUUUUCUUUCCUUCUAUACGUAAUUCAGAAAAGCUCUAGUUAGUGAGCUGUGGCCACGUGGCUAGAGCCACAGACCAAUCUGCUGGGCCCUCCCAGCGCCAAAUCUUUGCAACUACCAGAGUCGGAAACUUUGGAAUAAAUAAGUAACAGUUUGAGGCCGAGUGCAAAGUUUUGGUGGCCGCGAUUGAACUCUGACCCGAGAAAACCACUUAUGUGGUUGAUGCUGGUAAAUGUGUUUCUACCGCCUGCCUCCCUUUACCAGUCUCCAACAGAGGUGCUCUCUAUGCUCAUGUUUAAAGUGUAUGUUUUAUAUUUCUCUCAGAAAAGAUCCCUGUUCAUAUACUCACGUUGUAAGAGGUCAACUUAUAAGAUAUCAGAAAGCUUAUUGUAUAUAAGUUCAGCUUAAACUCACCUUUCACGAAUAAUUGAGAAAAUAGCUUUUGUAGUUCCCUAAUACGGAAAUUGACCGCCCUAUGUCGCUGUAACUUUGCCUGCUAGGGAAAUAGAUACCUUAGGCUGCAAAACGCUCCCCCACCCCUUUUACCAAGAUCUGGCUUAGGCAAGACCAACAUGUAAAAAGUCACCAACUCACCGCCCCACGGUAUCUUAGGUGUCUAACUACGAUUGGUCAUUUUAAACCCUCUUAGGACAAAGAACUUUAAAUUGAUAGGUUCCCACCAAAACUAAGGUCUGUGUGUCACAAUAGAAUUGGCUACCAUGAAAUGCUGUAAAUGGCAAUUGGGUAACUAAAUAAUGACCUAUUCUGACUUGCUAAAAUCCAUAGAAGCUCACUGCUACCUUUGUUCGGGGCCAUUCUCUACACUUUCCUCCUUAAGAUCAGGAGAUCAGGUUUGGCCCGGCCGUGAAUAAAAUUUUGCCUCGCUUCUAUUCGGCGUCUGGUGGUAUUUUUUUUUUUUUUUUCCGACAGCACCCUGUUUCAUUUGGAGGUUCCACCGAGAUUCUAUGACCACCCGAAAUUCGGAGGCUGAAGUGGAACAGCUAGGGGAGAGCUCCCGAGACACGUUCCUCGGCCCCGGCCUUCCGUUCUCAGACCUGGCUUAAGCAAGGUACGCGAGGCGGCGCCUAUUUUCUGUUUUCUGUUCUCUGUUUUCUGUUACUGGCCAGAUCUGAUUCUCGGAGGGAAGGCUGGACGAAGCUUAACUUUCCCCUAGCUGGUUCUGGUGGAGACAUCCCCAGCCCCAUCUGGGUCUCCGGACCGUCUGGGUUGGGCUUGAUCACCCCAACCAUUCGUUCUAUGUUCAGUGCUCUGUGUGCCCUGUUAAACGUUUCCUGUUAGCCUAUCUUUAUCUCUGGUGUGACCCACUGUUUAACCUCCGUCAUGGGUCAGUCUUCGUCCGAGACUUGCUCUCCCCUUAAAUGCAUGCUAAAUAACUUCGCUGGUUUCAAAAAAAGAGGAAAGAACGAUGGCUCUAACCUAAAGCCGUCCUGGCUGCGGACAUGUUGCCCACUGGACUGGCCGAUGCUCUCUGGGGUUGACUGGCCCCCAGAGGGCUCCUAGAAUCUUAACCUUGCUUAUGCCGCCCGCAGGAUUUGUCAUGAUGUUCAUCCCGACCAGGAGCCAUAUGCUGUGACUUGGGUCGACCUCCUAAACGACCCACCUUCCUGGCCGAGAAAGUGCCAGAAACAGGGCCAAAAGCUGUCAUCUGGCAUCUCCCUUUCCCACUCCCCUUCCUGUUCUCCUCCAAACUCCGAACCCUUGCUUCCCGUCACUCAGCCUUCAAAGAGGCUUUACCCAGUGCUUCAGGAGAUACCCGAAGGGAGGGACUUGUUAUCCGAUUCUCAGAGACCACCUCCUUAUCCCCAGACCCCACUAGCUCCCCAGGAACCCAAAGCCGCAGGAGAGCCUUUGACUACUCCCCCACAUACCAGAUCAGGAGCCCUCUGCAGAGGAGAACACCAGUCCUCCGAUGCCCCGGUUCCCAUCCUUCCUCUCAGGCAAACGGCUCCGGCUCCCGGUCCAGACAGGCGGCCAACACGCCCGAUGGUUGUCUACACUCCACCUCGGACCUCUACAACUGGAAAACUCAGAACCCGCCUUUCUCUGAAAACCCCCAGGGCCUACUUGACUUAUUUCCCUCUAUUUUCCCCACUCACUGACCUACUUGGGAAGAUUGUCACCAACUCUUGCAGGUCUUACGGACUUCAAGGAAAGGGCCCGAGUGCCCCGGGAAGCCACGAGAGCAGUCCUUGGCCCGGAUGGAAUGCCUACCACAGACCUUCACAGAAUUGAGCACGUUUUCCCUUCCGCGCCGCCCCAGUGGGACCCUAACACGGAUAACGGUAGGGAGCGUCUACUCCAGCAUCGCCAGAUUCUGUUACAGGGGCUUCACGCAGCGGCACGAAAGCCCACCGAUCUGACAAAGAUUCAGGACACGGUCCAAGGGCCGAAUGAGUCGCCUGCAGCCUUCCUAGAAAGGCUUUAUCGGGCGUACCGCUUAUAUUCCCUAUUGACCCCGAGGCAACAGAGAACCGUAAAACCAUUAAUAUGGCUUUCGUUUCUCAGUCGGCCCCAGACAUCCGUAAAAAGCUCCAAAAAUUAGAAGGAUCCGAAGGAAAGGUAAUUUCAAAGUUGGUGGAAAUAGCCCAGCCAGUUUUUCAGAGCAGGGACAGCCCUGCCAUUAUGCAAGGGAAGGAAAUAGGGAAAGCCCUAGAAGCAGCCUGGGGAAAAACCCGCAGGCAACAGCAAAGGACAGGGAAGGCCUCAACCCCGCCAGAAAGGACCCCGAGCAAAGCUGGGAAAAAAAUCAAUGUGCUUAUUGUAAGGAAGAAGGACAUUG
This 3519-nucleotide transfer RNA is filed under the name Lynx pardinus (Iberian lynx). The stretch from base 333 to 404 matches the Rfam family "tRNA". The record is from RNAcentral. Lineage: Eukaryota; Metazoa; Chordata; Mammalia; Carnivora; Felidae.